UUGCAAAUAUAUGAAUGACCUGCAAAAUAAAAGGCAGUACUUCUUUUAACUGUGAUUUAUUGAUUUAGUUAUUAGCUGCAUGCCUUUUACUUCCAGGUAGCUACAUUCAUGGGGUAUUAUAAAAAAUAAUGCAGUGGGCACUGGGCAAAAGGAAUGCUUUCCUGAGAAUUCAGGAAGUGACUGUCAGCACCCUUGUCUCUGACCCAAAGUCUAAAUAAAGGCUACAUGAGAAAGGAAAUUGUAUAGGGUACUACUGUUACACCACUUUGAGCCACUGGAGAUGUCUUUCAUGUUCUUUUCAGUUAUUUGGAUUUCUAGACAGAGACGAGCUUUCUGCCAGUUGCCAACUGCUGCUGCCUUUGUGGCAGCAGUGAGAAAGCAUUGCAAUAAAAAGCAAAUUGUGUUCCUGCUACUGAAAAGCCUGAAAGAAUUCAAAGGUCCCCCAGAAAUCAGCGGUUGUUAAAGUGGCACAUGACCAGUGGAAUGGCUGGAUUUUUUACCUUAUGCAAAAGGCUGUCUGAUCAUGACCAGAGGACAGGACCUCCAGGAAUGUUCUGUUGAAGUCAGAAUUUCUGUGAGACUGCUCUGACCAGUGUGAAGGACAAAGGACAUUUUGUUUGGUGUGAAGGUUUCAACCCCCACUAUACAACGCAUUGGAAAGGAAAAACGAACCUUGUUUUUCUGUCUGAAGGAGGGGAAAAGGAAAAAUAAUAAAAAUGAAGAAAACUAAUUUAUGCAGAGAAUUGCACAUAUAAGUGGAAAAAUAUAACUCUGUGACAAAAAUACCUUGUCAUUCAAAUGAAGAAAUAAUAUCUAAAAAUUACAAAGAUCUGACUCUGGAAUAGAAUAUAAUUAUUUGGAGAAGAGAGAUUUCUUAAAGGGCUUGCAUCCCAGGCAGAAAAAAUCCCUAUGAAGUCAGAUGAAGGCAAAUAGUGAAAUCAGAGCUGCCAGUGAAGAUAAAAAUGGUAGGAUGUAUUAUUUGUGCUAACAGUCAAGCAAGAAACAUUGUUUUGGUAGGAAAUGAAUGGGACAAAUCUGACCUUCAUUAUGCCAGCUCCUCUGAAAUAUUAAAUAGAGUCAGUAGUGAAAUAAGGAUUAAGGCUAUUUUUGCUGUCACUGGAGCAGUUCAAAACAGUCUUUGUGGGGACUGAGAUCCAGCCAUAGGACUCUGUUAAUUAAAAUAGCCACUAUUAAGAUAUUUAUUGCCCCUAAUAAUCAUAGCUAUGUAAUUUGUACUAGAGUAAACAAAUCAUGCUUUAUAAGUUCCCAGUUGACUAUUACAGCCUAGUCUGUCAGCUGUCAUUUAGUUACAAAGCCAAUUUUCCAUGUAGUUUAUUUGCAUAAACAACAGUUUUUUUCAAAGAGCUUCACAGAAAAAGAAAUCACAUUAAACAAAAUUAAAAUUAGGUUAAAGUAAUGUUAAUAAACUGACAAGCUCCCCAAAGCCCAACUAGUCAAAGAUUUUUUAAAAAUUUCAUGCUGAGUUUUUUUGAUGUGUUCACCUCUCUAGGCAGACUUAUGCUGUGUUAAAAGAAUGAUCAUUACUGCUUCUUGAAUCCUGUUAAUUAUGCAUGUGUGAGCAGGGUUAUUUGUAAUUGGUCCCUCUCCAGAUAUUCUCUCAUCUCUCUCUGUUUUCAUGAAAAUUUAAAAAAUGUCUACACUGACUAUCAUUUACUCACUAAUAUCUCUCUCUGUUUAUAUAUUUCAGGCAUCCUUUGCUGAUGUGGGCCAGACUGGACAGAUAUUAUCACAUUAAUUUUAUAUGGAUGGACGAGUUGCAUCUGCCAGCUUGG
Long non-coding RNA from Passer domesticus (house sparrow), 1793 nucleotides. RefSeq lists it as uncharacterized. The transcript is spliced from 6 exons. The record is from RefSeq and is a predicted model, not a curated record. NCBI's taxonomy places the organism in Eukaryota, Metazoa, Chordata, Aves, Passeriformes, Passeridae.